CGAGUCCUACGGGGGGCAGCAGUGGGGAAUAUUGCACAAUGGGCGAAAGCCUGAUGCAGCAACGCCGCGUGAAGGAAGAAGGGUUUCGGCUCGGAAACUUCUAUCAACAGGGACGAAAGAAAUGACGGUACCUGAAUAAGAAGCCCCGGCUAACUACGUGCCAGCAGCCGCGGUAAUACGUAGGGGGCAAGCGUUAUCCGGAAUUACUGGGUGUAAAGGGGGAGUAGGGGGCAAGGUAAGCCAGAAGUGAAAGCCAUGGGCUUA
Molecule: ribosomal RNA, 264 nt
Filed under: uncultured bacterium
Lineage: Bacteria
Description: partial 16S ribosomal RNA
Rfam family: Bacterial small subunit ribosomal RNA
Source: RNAcentral